RNAcentral lists this long non-coding RNA (482 nucleotides) under Sorghum bicolor (sorghum). Its description in RNAcentral is "long non-coding RNA (SBIC_LNC018505)". The record is from RNAcentral. Lineage: Eukaryota; Viridiplantae; Streptophyta; Magnoliopsida; Poales; Poaceae.
UGUCUUGAUCAUCAUGUUCAGUAUCACCAGUGUAGUCAUCUUCAUGACUACCGUGCUCUCGAUCUCCCUCCUUUUCUUCUUUGUGCUUCUCUUUAUCUUCGGUGUGGAAAUCAUCAAAUCGCCUUAGGAGAGCAGCAAGGCUUUUGUCCACACUAGCAACGGAUUCCUCCAAACUUGUGAGCUUGUUGUUUGUGGCAAUCUGCGUAGCCUCCAACUGCCCCAGCUUUUCAUUUGUCACCUGCAAGUCGUUAUCAAGUCCCUCUGUGUGCAGCUUCACUUUCCUUUCAAAAUGUUGUAUGAUGCCCUUAGUGCGAGGUGUAUGUGGUGUUUCGUUACCAUCAUCUGCCCCUGUCAUGGUGCAAAGACAAAGACAACAAAAAGGCAAGUGAAGAAAUAAAAGCCCUACAACUACUAGGAUGUAGCUACAGCAAGUCGCUCACACUCAACCUGUAACACAAGUUCUUACCAAUUCUUACCUUGCU